This 400-nucleotide ribosomal RNA is filed under the name uncultured bacterium. RNAcentral describes it as "bacterial SSU rRNA". It matches the Rfam family "Bacterial small subunit ribosomal RNA", at positions 355 to 772 of the family's 1533-position model. The record is from RNAcentral.
UGGGGAAUCUUGCACAAUGGGGGCAACCCUGAUGCAGCGACGCCGCGUGAGCGAUGAAGCCCUUCGGGGCGUAAAGCUCUUUCGACCGGAACGAUAAUGACGGUACCGGGAGAAGAAGCUGCGGCUAACUACGUGCCAGCAGCCGCGGUAAUACGUAGGCAGCAAGCGUUGUUCGGAGUUACUGGGCGUAAAGAGUGCGUAGGCGGUUUUCUAAGUUCGGUGUGAAAUCUCCCGGCUUAACUGGGAGGGUGCGCCGAAGACUGGGAAGCUGGAGUCUGGGAAAGGCAGGCGGAAUUCCUGGUGUAGCGGUGAAAUGCGUAGAUAUCGGGAGGAACACCGGCGGUGUAGACGGCUUGCUAGACCAUAACUGACGCUGAGGCACGAAAGCGUGGGUAGCAAA